RNAcentral lists this long non-coding RNA (397 nucleotides) under Chrysemys picta bellii (western painted turtle). RNAcentral's name for it is "lncRNA (ENSCPBG00000006328.1)". The record is from RNAcentral. Lineage: Eukaryota; Metazoa; Chordata; Testudines; Emydidae.
AUCGAGAUACGAUUAGAAGAGAUGCCAAGAGAAAUCUAUCAGAUCACAAAGACUAUAUAGAGUUAAAGAUGUCCAAAGAAUUCAACGUGUUUAACAGUCGACUUCUUAAUGUGUCCCAGGGUCUUGCUGAAGCCCAGCUGGAUCGAGAUGCUAUCAGAAGAGAUGCCCAGAGAAAUCUGUCACUUCACCAGGACUAUAUAGGUGAGAGGAUAAAGGAAAUGUUUCUAGUCCUUGUCGGUCUUCAAGGAUCUUUUCUGGUCCUUACAGCUCAAGGAAGGAGAGAGUGGGGCCAACGGGGUCAGGUGCAGGGCUGGUGAACUUGAUGUAGCUCCUUGGACUUCACUGGAGCUGAUCAGACAUACAUCAGCUGGGGAUCUGACCCCAGCUCAGACAGGAC